Molecule: ribosomal RNA, 253 nt
Filed under: uncultured bacterium
Lineage: Bacteria
Description: partial 16S ribosomal RNA
Rfam family: Bacterial small subunit ribosomal RNA
Source: RNAcentral
UACGGAGGGUUCAAGCGUUAUCCGGAUUCACUGGGUUUAAAGGGUGCGUAGGUGGGUUGGUAAGUCAGUGGUGAAAUCUCCAGGCUUAACUUGGAAACUGCCAUUGAUACUAUCAAUCUUGAAUACCGUGGAGGUCAGCGGAAUAUGUCAUGUAGCGGUGAAAUGCUUAGAUAUGACAUAGAACACCAACUGCGAAGGCAGCUGGCUAGGCGGAUAUUGACACUGAUGCACGAAAGCGUGGGGAGCAAACAGG